This 366-nucleotide unclassified non-coding RNA is filed under the name plant metagenome. RNAcentral describes it as "partial contains 5.8S ribosomal RNA, internal transcribed spacer 2, and large subunit ribosomal RNA". The record is from RNAcentral.
GGCACAGAUCGUCGGCACACUCGGCAAUGUGCGGAAACAGAUCGCUGAUCCACAGGCCGGACUGGCCGCGUUGCUUGAACUCCCAUUGCGGCUUCUUGAAAUACUUUUCGACGACGCGAUUAUCCGGAGCAAAUGCCUGCAGCAUCUUCUCGGGAACAAUGAACGACUUGUUGUGAUCGGCGAUCAAUUGGGGCUUGUAGUCGAACGAGUCGACGUGCGAUACGCCGCCGCUCAUGUUGAGGAAGAUCACCCGUUUCGCCCGCGGCGCGAAAUGCGGCGACUUCGGCGCCAACGGAUCAUUCGCCGCCGACGGACUCUCCUCGGCAAGCAAGUUCGAUAGAAUGCCUGGCAGCAGCAAUGACCCGC